RNAcentral lists this ribosomal RNA (326 nucleotides) under uncultured eukaryote. Its description in RNAcentral is "partial 18S ribosomal RNA". It matches the Rfam family "Eukaryotic small subunit ribosomal RNA", at positions 1470 to 1796 of the family's 1831-position model. The record is from RNAcentral.
CCCUUAGAUGUUCUGGGCUGCACGCGCGCUACAAUGAUGCACUCAACGAGUUUACGACCUUGCCCGAUAGGGUUGGGUAAUCUUUUUAAAAUGCAUCGUGAUGGGGAUAGAUUAUUGCAAUUAUUAAUCUUCAACGAGGAAUUCCUAGUAAGCGCGAGUCAUCAGCUCGUGCUGAUUACGUCCCUGCCCUUUGUACACACCGCCCGUCGCUCCUACCGAUUGAGUGCUCAGGUGAAUAAUUCGGACUGCAGCAAUGUUUGGAUCCCGAACGUUGCAGCGGAAAGUUUAGUGAACCUUAUCACUUAGAGGAAGGAGAAGUCGUAACA